GCCUCCCAGAGUGCUAUUAUUACAGGCGUGAGCCACUGCACCCAGCCUCCUUCUUAUGACUCUUAAUGUCCUAUAAGCCAUUUUUAAAAGUAGCAGAUACCUGAGCCCUCUCAAUUAUCCCCAGUUCUUACUCGUAAAGAACUCUGUGACCCAAAGUCAUUUUUUAAAAGUACCACUAAUAUUGGGAUGUGCAGUCAAACCUGCUGUAUUCUGGACCUUCCCUGCCCUGUGAGAGCUCUACAUGCAAGACCCAAGUAAGGCUGUCAGCUCAUGUGCAGUGGCAUAAAAACUACCAUGUGAUACUGUUUCAUGCUGUGGCCAAUGCAUUUCUAUCAAUGAUGCAUCACUGGCUUGACAGCAAUGUUACUGUUGUAUACUAGGGGCAGGUAAAUUUUUCUAGCAGAAAUGGUAUUUGGACCAGAAGUUUUUAUAUGAAGAAUUUGAUUAAAGAAAUAUUAUUAAGUAGCCCUUCUUUCUAAAUAUACUUUCAUGCUAAAACAAAAUAACUCAGAAAAUAUGAAAACAGAACUCUAGAACUCUUUGAAGUUAGCAAGUAAAGCAUACAUACAUGGUGUCUUAGUAACUGUUUCCAUUAUGCAGAUUCUAAGAAUCUUUCCUGGACAAGACUAAAGAAUUCCCAGUGGCAAACCAUGAUCUGCUGCUCAGCUCAAAUUGUGGGUCCCAGAGCAGCCAUAUGUGAUAGUUACUUGUAAUUAAGGACUUCAUCUAAACUUGAAGAUAAGCUUUCCUUGCUGAAAUUAGAUAUUACUUCCUAUUUAACUUAUUUAGAUAAAUUAUUUUUAUUUUAUAAAUAGAAUACAUACUUUAAUAGUUUAGUAGAAUAUCUCUUAAUUUUGUAGCUCCUUCAGUCAAUACCUUUGCAUUCCUAUUUUAUAUUGCAUUAUAUUAAUAGUUACUGGUCAACAUUAUGUAAUGAUGUUCCUGAGUCCUUUAGUGUCUUUGCCUUACUUACUUGAUUCUCCUUGUUUGCAGUAGACUGUUGCUGUUUUCCUGUAAUGCGUUGUUCUUCUCCUGUUUAUUUAUACUAUCUAGCAAGGCCAUGGAGGAAUUUGGUAGACAUUUGUUAAUGAGUAGCUAGCCAUCCUGAGUUAAUAGACAAUGAUAUGAAUUGAUGGACUCAUUGAGAAGGUGCCAUAUUGUAUCAUUUCUGAUUACAAAUAAACCAAAAAAUUGAACUAAGAGUACAUAAUAGGUUAACAUUUCAUGUAGCUAAAUUAAGAGAGGCCAAAAUAUCAAAGGGAAAGUUGAAAGUCACAAGGAACCACCCUGGGUCUUAGCUCCAUCAACUGUGUCUCAUGGGAUGGCAGGUAAAUUAGUUAUUGUUCUUAACAGCCUAGAUUCUUUACUUGAGAAGACAGGGAUAAUAAAAAUCAGGAUAACAUCUGAUCUUCAGGGCGCUGUGAGGGUAAUAAUGUUAGGCAAGUAUCCAGAGAGUGCCUGGCACAAAACAGCCACGCAGGUGCUGCCUGUUGCUUCCUUCCUGAUGGAGGGUUAUUGAUAAACAUCGUGCAUAAUAAGAUUUCCAAGUAAGCCUGUUUCCUCUCAAUUAUUAAUGAUUACCUGGAGUUCUGUUAAGGAGAAUCAGAGAUCUCUGGACAUGAGUUUGGGUCAUAAGAAAGCGGUGGUGAGCUGUGGCUGGCAAGCCUGUGCUCACAGGGAGGAUGUGUGAGUUCAAUGCUAGCUUCUCUUGGGGCAGACGUAAGGCAUUUGAGCUCAGUCUUUCUUUGAGCUCGACUGUAUCGCUUGAUUUAGGUUUGCUGUUCUGGUUUUUAAAAUUUAGUAAUAGAGAAGAGAGUACAUAAGUAGAAGACCAAAACUGUAUUGUUACCAGAGUUCCAACCGCUGCUGACUUUUCUGGCUCUACAAAAGAGGGUCAAUGAGAUAUAUCUCCAUGAGAGGCAACAUCCAAAUCAUCUGCCAGGUGAUCCCACCUUGUCACAAAGGAUUGUGACUGACAGCAGAAAGAAAGCAGGCAUGAGAAAACGAGAUGCAGUCAAGAGCUGACGAUCACAUCAAAAAGGAAAGAAAGAUGUUCUAUACAUUCAGUGAGAAGUCAGCCUGUGUUUGCAUAAGCAUUUCUGUCACUGCCAACCCAGCUCUGAUGACAGAGUGUGAGCUUCUGUGCUGCUGGUACCUUUGGGAUUCGUGCUGACUCGUGACAAGCCUAGGAGGGCCACAGAAAGAAGGAUGUAAGGAUGUAAGAAGGAUGACCUUCCAUGUCUUCAAGAAUAGUUGCGUUUUAAGAAACAAUGAGACUUCCAUGUCCUGAUGGCAGUCGAUGUAGAAAUUCCUGGCAUUUGGCAACAGCAUGGAAUCACAUUCUGUAGUAAUACAAAGAGUCUGGCUUCUGGCUUCUCAGGUAGAUUCAACAAUGUCAGCUCUCCUGGUAACUGCUCUAAAAAUACAUUUUAGAGUCAUAAGAAGCCCGGUUUUGACCCCUCACUCUCUUACCUGUGUAGACACCCAGAUAUGCUCCAUGCACUCUUGGGUGUGAGAGUGAUUCCCUGUUCUCCCAACCCUUCCCCAGCCACGCCCUUUGUGCUGCUCCGCAAUGCUUGGCUCGGGAGGAAACUGUAUUUCCCAGAUGCCCUUGCCAGCGAGUUCCUGUGACAUCUGCUCAGUGGAUCCAAAGGCAGGUCAGGGGAAAGGCGCUGUCAUUUUCUCUUUUCUACCCUUCCCUCUCUCCUGCUUCUGGAAGUGUCUGUGAUCCCUUCUCCAUGCCACUCCUCCGUGACUGGGAGGCAGUGCCUUGGUGGUUUCUACCCACUCAGUCGGCCCAUCCUCAGGGGUCCUGGCAUGCACUCAGCACUCAGAAGUUCUGAUAAAGUACUUUCUUGAGUUUCCUGAGUCCUGGGGGCAGUAGCUGUUUCCUACAGUUUACCAGGUGAUCUAAUCUCAUUCUAUCCCUUUUUUCUUUCUUUUUUUCUCUUUCUGCUCUGCUAACAUUUUGUAACAGAUUUCUUAUAUUCAGUGCACUCUUAAGAAGUACCUAAUACAUCUUGUAUGUGGUGGGAUUAAUAGUACUUUAAAUAGUACACACAACCUGCCUGUAAAAGGCCUGAAAAGAGCUGUGAAAUAAUUUAUACUCCUUUUCUUAUUGAGUCCACAUUUAGGAAUCUAUCCUGUGAAUGAAAUCAGAGAUGGUCCUGGAGAUUUUAUGAGCAUGGGUUUUCAUUGGUGGGUUAAUUUUUAAUAACAGAAAAAGGAAUUACUUGUAGAACAAUAGGAACCAUUAAAAUACACUCAUACAAAUUACAAUACACAUACACAUUAAGAUACUGUACCAUUAUUAAAAAUCACAUUUUCAAAAGAAAAUGUUCAUAGCAUAAGCGAAAAAACAGUGUAUUAGCCUGUCCUCACACUGCUCUAAAGGACUGCCCAAAACUGUGUAAUUAAUAAAGGAAAGAGGUUUAAUUGACUCACAGUUCUGCAUGGCUGGAGAGGCCUCAGUGAACUUACAAUCAUGGUGGAAGGGGAAGCAAACAUGUCCUUCAUCACAUGAUGGCAGCAAGGAGAACUGCCGAGCAAAAGGGGAAAAAGUCCCUGAUAAAACCAUCAGCUCCCCUGAGAACUCAUUCACAUCAUGAGAACAGCAGGCAUGGGGGUAACUGGCCUCAGGAUUCAACUACCUCCCACCGGGUCCCUCCCGUAACACAUGGGGAUUAUGGGAACUACAAUUCGAGAUGAGAUUUGGGUAGGGACACAGCCAAACCAUAUCAAACUGUAUACAAAAGAGUAUGAGGGAAUGUUGUAUAAGGGAAUAAACAUUUUAAUUUUUUAAAAUUUAUUUUAUUUUGAGAUGGAGUUUCACUCUUGUUGCCCAGGCUGGCAUGGAAUGGUGCAAUCUCUAGUCACCGCAACCUCCACCUCCCGGGUUCAAGCUAUUCUCCUGUCUCAGCCUCCCAAGUAGCUGGGAUUAUGUACCACCACACCCAGCUAAUUUUGUAUUUUUUAUAGAGGCGGGGUUUCUCCAUGUUGGUCAGGCUGGUCUCGAACUCCCGACCUCAGGUGAUCCACCCACCUCGGCCUCCCAAAGUGCUGGGAUUACAGGCAUGACCCAUCGUGCCUGGCCGGGAAUAAACAUUUUUAUAAACACCACUUUAUAGGUAUGAUCAAAGAAACAUUUCUAUUAACACACCUUUACAGGGAAUGCAGUGGAAAGAAAUCAGGCAAGUUUCUAUUGGGGUGAUUUUUAUUUUCUUUUCUGUGUUUAUUUUUGAAAAUUUAAAGAAAUGUCCACCAUGACUAUUUUUUAAUAAGCAAAAGACAAUUAAUACAUUUUAAAAGAAUAAUAGUUCUUAUUAUGCCACAUAUAAUAAUAAAUCCCAUUUGGAUAUAAGAUCUAAGAAAGCCAACCAAAAUCCUUUCAAUCUUGUAUAAUAAUGGAAGAAAACUAGAAUGACAUUCUGUAAUCCCAAAAGAUAAAAGAAUAAAAAAGAUUUUCAACAAUGAUUAAUUUGGAGAUAAAACACAAAUGUGAUAAAUGUAAAAAGAUUCUUUAGAACAAGGUGAUUUUUAAUUUACAAAAAAAUUAUUAUAACCUGUCAAAUUGGCAUUAUAAAACUGCAUUUGUGGGAAAAGGGCCGUUGCCAUAAUAUUGGUGACAAUAUAAAUUGCCAUUAAAGCUUUUUUGCAGUACCCAUGGCAAGUACCCAUCAAUAUUUUGUGUGUACAAAUCUUUGGGCAGUAAUUUUACUUCGAGGCAUCUCUCUAAUGGAAAUAUUUGUGUAAAUGUGCUACAAUCCAAGUUGAAGUAUACUUCCAUUAUGCAUCUUCUCAGUGGACGUUUAUUGAGAGCCUAUGAUGUGGCAGACAUUGUUCUAAUAAAGGACACAUUAGAGCAUACCAGAGAAAAAUCUUACAUGAAAACAGUAAACAGUAAGAAAUACAUGAACAAGAUUAUUCCAGAGGGUGAUGGGUGCUGUACAGAAAAUAAACCGAGAAGGUAUAAAAGAUAUUGACUAAGGAUAAAUUAGAUUGUGUAGAACAGGAGCUCUAGAAAGACCUCACCAAGGAAGUAACCUUGGAGCGAGUGAUGAGACAGCAGGAACCACCACGCCAAUACCUUGGGACAGGACAUUCCACAGAGAUGCAGAGACAAGGUUGGCUUAGCCCAGGCAUGGAAGAAAGGCCAGGGGCACAAAGAUUUGGUAUAAGAAGUUCCAGAGGAAGACAAAGACAGGUAGUAAAUCACGUAAGAGUCCACGGGCUAUAGUAAAAAGCUUGAAGUUGAUGUACAUAUUUUUGAUUUUGAAACAGUAAAAAAUUAGGGGAAAAUAUUUCAACAUUCAUCAGUAGGGGAAUGGUUAAAUACAUUACUGAAUAUAAUCAUCUUGUAAAGUACUGUCUAGACAUGAAAAAAAUAGAAAGCUCUGUAUUUACUGACAUGGAAGAAUGUGAAUCAUGCUAUUAAAUGAAAAAGCACAUUACAGAACAAUACACUUACAAAAUACAAUAUCAAAAUAUACAUAUACACACAGAUAAAGGUGAAAUUCAGAGGUGGGGAUGUGGGACUUUGACUUUUUACUUUAUACACUUUUGUGUGAUUUUUUUAAAUUAUGGAUUUAUUUUAUUAUUGAUAAAAUAUACAAAGGUUACAAUACUCCUGAUUGUAAAAAAAAAUGCUUAGUAAAGUAUAUUUAGAAAACAGGGAAAUUGGAACAGUUUUUAGCCAAAGAAAAUCCCACACUACAUAUUGGCAAAAAAAAAAAAAAAAGAGAGAGAGAGAGAGAGGGAGAAGAGAGAUUUCUAUUCUAAAAAAUGCCUUAGGGCUUGUAGUUUCUUAUAACUUCUGUGACUACCUAUGGCGUAUAAGUAUUAGAUUGUAUUCUACAAAUUGACAGCCCAGGAUCAUAUUCCUGGUUGCUUUGUUUUUUACACAAAUAUCUUUAUCUGAACUCUGGCUCAUUCUGGAAAUGUAAGCCUCUCCUCCCUCUUCCUGAUUCCCCUUCACACCCCACAACCAUGUCAGUUGUGCAGCCAUUUUCUGGUUUAAAUUUCAGAACACAUGAGAGGGCCCAGCUCGCCGCAUGUUAAGAUAAUCCUUUAAAGGUUGCUGUCUGGCCAUGUGAGCUUGCAAGAUAAGGCACCGAGCGUGGGGCUUUCUUCAUUUGAAAGAGUAUUUUGAGAACCUUCUUUGAUGUUUGAAGCCCCUUUUCUUCUGACCUCCCACUUGCCAAGUAGAUACUUUCUUUCUUUCUUUUAUUUUAUUUAUUUUAUGUUUUUAUUUGGGGGACAUUUUACUCCCAGGGUAGUUAUAGUCAAAAGGAAGAAAAGUUUGGAAUUUCUUCUGUUUGAACACCACUGUGUAAUUGGAAGGCGCAAGUCUCCACGACACUGAUGACAACUCAAAAAAGCUCAAAUUAAGGAAAAGUCCAGUUGAAAGGUCAAGGUAUGGAAACAGUACAGAUAAUUAUUUGGGUAUUAUUUUAAAGAGCAAUGCAUUGGUGAAAUAUUCAUCAUGAUUGUUUUUGGAUACAUUGAAUACCAGUUAUUUAUAUUCUUGAAUCAUACCAGUGAAUGUCUGUGUAGAUGGUAUUAUCAAGUCUGGGGUUUGAUUUUACCCCUCUUACAAAUCAGUGAGCCUGCUACUGUAUCAGGCUGCUGGUGGAAGACGUGAGUCUUGGGGCCAAAGGCAAAGGGCUUUAUUACACAGUGCUCAGCAGUGCAGCAGCUUGUGUGCAGGGAAUGAAGCAAUUGGCUCAGAGGGAACUUACUCAUGGGUGGAUUUGCAUCACAGCCGGUGAAUACUGAGCUGGGACUACUGUUAUAGCAAGCCGCAUGCAAGCCUUUUGUCUAGGGGAAGACCUUGCCUUAUCUCUUUAGGUUACCAGUUGCAUAAGCAACCCUGAGUAAUAGUCUGUUAAAAGCGGGCAGGACCUUUUGAUCUUGGCAAGUCCAGCAAGAUGUAUAGAAGGGAGAGAGGCCCAAAGAGGACUGUAUCUCCCAGUGAGUUGUAAUUUUAUAUCACAAUAUCUAAUAGCAUAUAAUCCUGUUAACGUAGUCAUGCAUAUUACAUAUGCAUUUCAAAUAAUCUUUUUAAAAGGUUUUUGUUAACUGAAGGCAUAAUAGUAACAAUGAUGAUGUCUUUGCUUCAUUUUUAAAAAGAACAAGAAAUAAUUUGGAAAAAGUAGCAUAGAAAUGAAAGAAGAAAAAUGUCACUUUUCUUGUGCUGUCAAGUUUGGAUUUAUAGUUCACUAUGAUUAAGUAUGGAAGAAUAAAUAGUUUUCAAAUAGACAUAUUUAUUAGCUACUAAAUGGAGGUAUAUUAAAUACAGGUACCUCGAUGGCAUAUGGGUUUGUAUAGAAAAAUACAUUUUUUUCCUACAGAAAGGGGGUUAGUAGUAACACAGAACUUCAGAUUCAACAUAGAAACCAAAUUGAAUUACAGCAGCAUCAAAAGAUUUUCAAAGAGGGGCUUUGGACAAUGUACUUUGAAUUGCCUCUGCAGAACACUAAUACAGACACGUGCCUGGGCAGGGGCAUGGAGGGCCAAGUGAAGCUAACCCUCUUUCCCAUAACUCAAGUCAGGGGAGACAAUUUUUUUU
This is a long non-coding RNA of Homo sapiens (human), 7567 nucleotides long. RefSeq lists it as uncharacterized. NCBI's taxonomy places the organism in Eukaryota, Metazoa, Chordata, Mammalia, Primates, Hominidae. The transcript is spliced from 3 exons. The record is from RefSeq and is a predicted model, not a curated record.